RNAcentral lists this long non-coding RNA (222 nucleotides) under Pan troglodytes (chimpanzee). RNAcentral describes it as "long non-coding RNA NONPTRT006409". The record is from RNAcentral. Lineage: Eukaryota; Metazoa; Chordata; Mammalia; Primates; Hominidae.
UUUGCCUUUCAAACUCUGUCCUGCCCAUUUUUCUUUGACAUGUUCAGAUGUUGGCAAGGCUGAAAACUGCAGGGGAUCUGGUUGUGAUAAUCCAGACGGAGUCUCCCUUUGUUGCCAACCCUGGAGUGAAGUGGUGGGAUCUGGGCUCACCGCAACCUCCGCCUCCUGGGUUCAAGCGAUUCUCCUGCCUUAGCCUCCCAAGUAGGUGAGAUUACAGGCAUG